UGCCACAGCCAUAUCACCCUGCAGCUCAAGACCGGUUACUCACUGAAGCUAACCAGGACUGAGUACUGGUCAGUACCUGAAUGGAAGACCACAUGGAAAAACUAGGUUGCUGUUGUAA
Danio rerio (zebrafish) is the source of this 118-nucleotide ribosomal RNA. Lineage: Eukaryota; Metazoa; Chordata; Actinopteri; Cypriniformes; Danionidae. The record is from Ensembl.